UACGUAGGGCGCAAGCGUUGUCCGGAAUUAUUGGGCGUAAAGGGCUCGUAGGCGGUUUGUCGCGUCGGGAGUGAAAUCAUCUGGCUUAACUGGGUGCUUGCUUUCGAUACGGGCAGACUAGAGGUAUGCAGGGGAGAACGGAAUUCCUGGUGUAGCGGUGAAAUGCGCAGAUAUCAGGAGGAACACCGGUGGCGAAGGCGGUUCUCUGGGCAUGAUCUGACGCUGAGGAGCGAAAGUGUGGGGAGCGAACAGG
Molecule: ribosomal RNA, 253 nt
Filed under: uncultured bacterium
Lineage: Bacteria
Description: partial 16S ribosomal RNA
Rfam family: Bacterial small subunit ribosomal RNA
Source: RNAcentral